CGAGCGUUGUCCGAAUUUACUGGGCGUAAAGAGCGCGUAGGCGGUUUGUUAAGUCUCAUGUGUAAUCUCCCGGCUCAACUGGGAGGGGUCAUGGGAUACUGGCAGACUUGAGGAUAGCAGAGGAAAGCGGAAUUCCCGGAGUAGUGGUGAAAUGCGUAGAUACCGGGAGGAACACCAGAGGCGAAGGCGGCUUUCUGGGCUAUUUCUGACGCUGAGGCGCGAAAGCGUGGGGAGCGAACCGGAUUAGAUACCCGGGUAGUCCACGCCCUAAACGAUGGAUACUAGAUGUUGGGGGUAUAGACCCCCCCAGUGUCGAAGCUAACGCGAUAUGUAUCCCGCCUGGGGAGUACGGCCGCAAGGCUAAAACUCAAAGGAAUUGACGGGGACCCGCACAAGCAGCGGAGCGUGUGGUUUAAUUCGAUGCAAAGCGAAGAACCUUACCCAGGCUUGACAUGUUUCUGAAAGCCCCCGAAACGGGGCCCUCCUUCGGGACAGAUUCACAGAUGUUGCAUGGCUGUCGUCAGCUCGUGUCGUGAGAUGUUGGGUUAAGUCCCGCAACGAGCGCAACCCCUGUCGUUAGUUAUUAUGUCUAGCGAGACUGCCCCCACUGGGGGAGGAAGGUGGGGACGAGGUCAAGUCGUCAUGGCUCUUACGCCUGGGGCUACACACACGCUACAAUGGUCGGAAACAAUGGGCUGCCACACCGCGAGGUGGAGCGAAUCCUCAAAGCCGAUCUCAGUUGGAAUUGCAGGCUGCAACUCGCCUGCAUGAACGUGGAGUUGCUAGUAACCGUAGGUCAGCACACUACGGUGAAUACGUUCUCGGGUCUUGUACACACCGCCCGUCAAGUCAUGGAAGUCGGUAACACUUGAAGUCGUUGGGCCAACCC
Molecule: ribosomal RNA, 889 nt
Filed under: uncultured prokaryote
Description: bacterial SSU rRNA
Rfam family: Bacterial small subunit ribosomal RNA
Source: RNAcentral